GUCAGGAUGGUUGAGUGGUCCAACGCACCAGACUCAAAUUCUGGUCUCCAUAUGGAGGCAUGGGUUCGAAUCCCACUUCUGACA
Non-coding RNA from Hemicordylus capensis (graceful crag lizard), 84 nucleotides. The record is from the annotation of a RefSeq genome assembly. NCBI's taxonomy places the organism in Eukaryota, Metazoa, Chordata, Lepidosauria, Squamata, Cordylidae.